ACAAUAUCAACGAUAAUAUCGGAAAAUAUCGACGUCGAUAAUUUUGCUCACACUUCAGCAAUAUUUUGUUACAAUAUCGCUAUAAUAUCGCUAAAAUGUCGAAAAUAUCCAAAAUAUCGAUGUAAUUAAAACAAAAAGGAAAAAAAAAAGGGAAAAAAACACAAAGGGGAUUCAAGGUGUUUCCUCUUGUAAAAUUAGUCAUCC
This 204-nucleotide long non-coding RNA is filed under the name Prunus persica (peach). RNAcentral describes it as "long non-coding RNA (PPER_LNC005207)". Lineage: Eukaryota; Viridiplantae; Streptophyta; Magnoliopsida; Rosales; Rosaceae. The record is from RNAcentral.